This 72-nucleotide transfer RNA is filed under the name Phrynosoma platyrhinos (Desert horned lizard). Its description in RNAcentral is "tRNA-OTHER". Lineage: Eukaryota; Metazoa; Chordata; Lepidosauria; Squamata; Phrynosomatidae. The record is from RNAcentral.
GCCAGUGUGGUGUAGUGGUUUGAGUGUUGGACUAUAACUCUGGAGACUGGGGUUCAAAUCCCUGUUCAGUCA